AUGAAUAUAGCCGGGACUCGAUCAUACAACGACCCAGCAUGUUUUGAGACCGGAAAGACAUGUGGGCAGUCUGAUGUGUACGGCUUAGGCGUGAUGUUGCUCAAAAUUGUCUGUGGUGAAAAACCAACCACACAGGCUAAUGGCAAGAACAACCUUAUCGAGAAGGUCCUAAAAUGUCAAGCGAACAAUACAAUUCUCGGUGCAGAUGACAAAGGGUUGAGAGGCCAAUUUGACGGGGAACUCAAAAGUGUGUUGGAGAUCGGGCUCAUGUGUGUCAACCCGGAUCGUCAGCGUCGUCCACACAUCAAAAGAGUGAGGGGUUUCUUGAUGCAACUGCUAUUUUUAGUGUCCACUUCAAACCCCACCAUCCCUUCUGGAGUAAAUGGGAGGGGACCAAGUAGCUCCAACACAUACCCUGCGCAUUCACCGGCCGAUGAAGAAGCCGACGAUUCACCACUGCUAGUCUAG
RNAcentral lists this ribosomal RNA (468 nucleotides) under Triticum aestivum (bread wheat). RNAcentral's name for it is "partial small subunit ribosomal RNA". Lineage: Eukaryota; Viridiplantae; Streptophyta; Magnoliopsida; Poales; Poaceae. The record is from RNAcentral.